Molecule: ribosomal RNA, 200 nt
Filed under: uncultured bacterium
Lineage: Bacteria
Description: partial 16S ribosomal RNA
Rfam family: Bacterial small subunit ribosomal RNA
Source: RNAcentral
UUACUCCUACGGGAGGCAGCAGUAGGGAAUCUUCCACAAUGGACGCAAGUCUGAUGGAGCAACGCCGCGUGAGUGAAGAAGGUUUUCGGAUCGUAAAGCUCUGUUGUUGGUGAAGAAGGACAAGGUUAGUAACUGAACCUUGUUUGACGGUAAUCAACCAGAAAGCCACGGCUAACUACGUGCCAGCAGCCGCGGUAAUA